AUAUCAGUCAUGCAUAGCAUAUCAAUAAGCGGAGGAAAAGAAACUAACAAGGAUUCCCUUAGUAACGGCGAGUGAAGCGGGAAGAGCUCAAAUUUGAAAUCUUCAAGGUUCUACCUUGACGAAUUGUAGUUUAUAGAAGUGUUUUCUGUUAGUGGAGUGGCAAAAGUUCUUUGGAAUAGGACAUCAUAGAGGGUGAGAAUCCCGUAUUUGGUCAUUCCUCCUAGCGUUGUGAUACACUUUCAACGAGUCGGAUUGUUUGGGAAUGCAGUCCAAAAUGGGUGGUAAAUUUCAUCUAAAGCUAAAUAUUGGCGAGAGACCGAUAGCGAACAAGUACCGUGAGGGAAAGAUGAAAAGAACUUUGAAAAGAGAGUUAAACAGUACGUGAAAUUGUCAAAAGGGAAGCGUUUGACACCAGUGUUGUUUUUCCGAAAAUCAAUUACGAAUGUUUUAGUUUUUGAGGAGUUAUGACUUCAUCGGCUUGCUCCUUUCUUUAUGAAACUUUCUUAAUGCACUUUUCGGUUAACAAGUCAACAUCAAUUUCUUUUGUUGUAAAAGAGUCAUUGGAAGGUGGCUUUCAUUUCGGUGAAAGUGUUUAUAGCCUUUGACUUCUGCAAUCGGAGAGAUUGAGGUCUGCAGCGUAGAUCCUUCGGGGUUAGAUACAUUUGUGCUAAGUUAUAGUUUUUCAUAGACAACAUGUUGACUAUGAUUAAUCAUGUAGCUUACUCGCUUAUGCUAUUUUACCUACGCUUAGGAUGUUGAUGUGAUACUGCGAGCA
Molecule: ribosomal RNA, 775 nt
Filed under: uncultured Neocallimastigales
Lineage: Eukaryota; Fungi; Neocallimastigomycota; Neocallimastigomycetes; Neocallimastigales
Description: partial large subunit ribosomal RNA
Rfam family: Eukaryotic large subunit ribosomal RNA
Source: RNAcentral